Molecule: ribosomal RNA, 215 nt
Filed under: uncultured Lactobacillus sp.
Lineage: Bacteria; Bacillati; Bacillota; Bacilli; Lactobacillales; Lactobacillaceae
Description: partial 16S ribosomal RNA
Rfam family: Bacterial small subunit ribosomal RNA
Source: RNAcentral
AACCUACGAACAGANGCUAAUACCGGAUAACAACAGAUGAUGCCUAUCAACUGUUUAAAAGAUGGUUCUGCUAUCACUCUUGGAUGGACCUGCGGUGCAUUAGCUAGUUGGUAGGGUAACGGCCUACCAAGGCGAUGAUGCAUAGCCGAGUUGAGAGACUGAUCGGCCACAUUGGGACUGAGACACGGCCCAAACUCCUACGGGAGGCAGCAGGU